AUCUAUCAAAGCCUGACAUCACCAUGAACCAUGCCAGAGAGUGUCGCAAAAGUAUCAUAAGUCUUUUGUAAUUCAACCCCUGAGUUAGCAAGUCUAUCAGCUUGCUUGUUUGCCUCUCCAUAGCAAUGCGAUAUAGCUUGAAAUAAUGCUUGUACCUCAACAACUCCUCCAACUCCCCUUGCAACUCCCACGGACAUGCAGAAGUUCCCUGAAUCAUGUUAGCUAAAACAAGUGAGUUAGUUUCAACAUGCAAGGCAUCAUAACCACGCGAUAAACAUUGCCAGACUCCAAAGAGCAUCGCCUUAAGCUCCGCAUGCAAGCUUGUCAAAUUGCCAAAGAAGCAUGAGUACUUGAAGAUGAAUGGACCAUGUCCAUCCCGUACCAAGCCGCCUCCACCACUUAGCCCUGGAUUACUUCUAGAAUACCCAUCAGUAUUUAAUUUAUAACCCACCACAGGAGCCAACCAUUUAACUGGAAAUACCUAAAUUCUCCGUGACCGACCAAUCAAGAAAGAAUGAAACUCAGUCCAAGAAAAGAAAGAAUAUUUCAUUUCUGGGUAUUGCGCAUGAAAGAGCUCACACAGCUGCUGGAAAACCUGACUCAUAAUCUCCCCAUGAACCACUUUCUUUCC
This 631-nucleotide long non-coding RNA is filed under the name Coffea arabica (coffee). RNAcentral's name for it is "long non-coding RNA (CARA_LNC008082)". Lineage: Eukaryota; Viridiplantae; Streptophyta; Magnoliopsida; Gentianales; Rubiaceae. The record is from RNAcentral.